UUGUCAAGAAGUCGACUAGACGUAAAUACGGCUAGGCUGAGCUUCCAGCGAACGCCCAGCUACAAGCGUGAGCAGAAUUUGAGCUGCACUAAGAACAACUAACAAAUGACGAACCUAAUAAGACUAAUCAAGGACCAGCAGGGCAACAUUAAGGGCCGUCAGGGAAUACUGAGUGCUAUCAGGCUAGGAGAGGAAUGUCUUUAGCCGACGCGCCGUUUCUUGAAGGUGAAGAAGGAGUCUCAUGAGCCGUUGUGGUUCGGCAGCUCAUUCCAGCAUCGGGGAACCACACGAACAUUAAGAAGAACCACUGAGAACAUCCUGACAUGAAGCAUCACAGGAACGGCACCGUGAGGGCGGUACGAUCGGCGGAAUGCCGCAUCUGCGCGGAGCUUCCUGACCUGCAGUCCAUCUACAGCAAGCGCUGCUGGACCAAGGCCAGGAACCCAGUGAAGGUUCCCAGCUAGACAAACACUGAACACUUUUCUCUGCUGCGGUCAGGGAAGUACUUCUGCUCCCUGAAGACCAACGCAGAGCUCCAGACCUCCGUGACCUUGCACAGGACAGGCGGUUAUGGAAGAUGGAUGGAUGAGGAUGAUGAUGAUUAUUAUUAUUGUUGUUUUUAUUAAAAAAUAACAACCC
Brienomyrus brachyistius is the source of this 639-nucleotide long non-coding RNA. RefSeq lists it as uncharacterized. Lineage: Eukaryota; Metazoa; Chordata; Actinopteri; Osteoglossiformes; Mormyridae. The record is from RefSeq and is a predicted model, not a curated record. The transcript has 3 exons.